Molecule: ribosomal RNA, 251 nt
Filed under: uncultured prokaryote
Description: partial 16S ribosomal RNA
Rfam family: Bacterial small subunit ribosomal RNA
Source: RNAcentral
ACGUAGGGUGCGAGCGUUAAUCGGAAUUACUGGGCGUAAAGCGUACGCAGGCGGCUGGGAAAGACAGGGGUGAAAUCCCCGAGCUUAACCUGGGAACUGCAUUUGAGACUGUCUAGCUUGAGUUUGGCAGAGGGGGGUGGAAUUCCAGGUGUAGCGGUGAAAUGCGUAGAUAUGUGGAGGAACACCGAUGGCGAAGGCAGCCUCCUGGGACAAUACUGACGCUGAGGCGCGAAAGCGUGGGGAGCAAACAG